Molecule: ribosomal RNA, 376 nt
Filed under: uncultured bacterium
Lineage: Bacteria
Description: bacterial SSU rRNA
Rfam family: Bacterial small subunit ribosomal RNA
Source: RNAcentral
UACGUAGGUGGCAAGCGUUGUCCGGAUUUACUGGGCGUAAAGGGAGCGUAGGCGGAUACUUAAGUGGGAUGUGAAAUACCUGGGCUUAACUUGGGUGCUGCAUUCCAAACUGGGUGUCUAGAGUGUUGGAGAGGAAAGUGGAAUUCCUAGUGUAGCGGUGAAAUGCGUAGAGAUUAGGAAGAACACCAGUGGCGAAGGCGACUUUCUGGACAAUAACUGACGCUGAGGCUCGAAAGCGUGGGGAGCAAACAGGAUUAGAUACCCUGGUAGUCCACGCCGUAAACGAUGGGUACUAGGUGUAGGAGGUAUAGACUCCUCAUGUGCCGCCGUUAACACAAUAAGUACCCCGCCUGGGGAGUACGGUCGCAAGAUUAAA